This 583-nucleotide ribosomal RNA is filed under the name uncultured bacterium. Its description in RNAcentral is "partial 16S ribosomal RNA". It matches the Rfam family "Bacterial small subunit ribosomal RNA", at positions 357 to 1375 of the family's 1533-position model. The record is from RNAcentral.
UGGGAAUUUGGACAAUGGGCGAAAGCCUGAUCCAGCAAUGCCGCGUGUGUGAAGAAGGCCUUCGGGUUGUAAAGCACUUUUGUCCGGAAAGAAAUCCUUGGCUCUAAUACAGUCGGGGGAUGACGGUACCGGAAGAAUAAGCACCGGCUAACUACGUGCCAGCAGCCGCGGUAAUACGUAGGGUGCAAGCGUUAAUCGGAAUUACUGGGCGUAAAGCGUGCGCAGGCGGUUUGCUAAGACCGAUGUGAAAUCCCCGGGCUCAACCUGGGAACUGCAUUGGUGACUGGCAGGCUAGAGUAUGGCAGAGGGGGGUAGAAUUCCACGUGUAGCAGUGAAAUGCGUAGAGAUGUGGAGGAAUACCGAUGGCGAAGGCAGCCCCCUGGGCAAUACUGACGCUCAUGCACGAAAGCGUGGGGAGCAAACAGGAUUAGAUACCCUGGUAGUCCACGCCCUAAAACGAUGUCAACUAGUUGUUGGGGAUUCAUUUCCUUAGUAACGUAGCUAACGCGUGAAGUUGACCGCCUGGGGAGUACGGUCGCAAGAUUAAAACUUAAAUGAAUUGACGGGGUCAUAGCUGUUUCCU